Molecule: ribosomal RNA, 253 nt
Filed under: uncultured bacterium
Lineage: Bacteria
Description: partial 16S ribosomal RNA
Rfam family: Bacterial small subunit ribosomal RNA
Source: RNAcentral
UACAGAGGUCUCAAGCGUUGUUCGGAUUCAUUGGGCGUAAAGGGCGUGUAGGUGGCGCCGUAAGUCGGGUGUGAAAUUUCGGAGCUUAACUCCGAAACUGCAUUCGAUACUGCGGUGCUUGAGGACUGGAGAGGAGACUGGAAUUCAUGGUGUAGCAGUGAAAUGCGUAGAGAUCAUGAGGAAGACCAGUGGCGAAGGCGGCCACCUGGACGGUAACUGACGCUGAGACGCGAAAGCGUGGGGAGCAAACAGG